AAUAAUCUCAUCUACAUCCAAACCCAAUCCCUAGCUGUCAGAGCCCUCGCCGGAGAAGACAGCCCAGCCACCGGAGGAACCGACCGCUGCCACCCGCCGCCACACUGGAGCACUUUCCGGCUGCCAAACGAGUUAAAAAUUUUCUUUUUGGCUCGGAUUUCGAUUCUAAACCCACCUGUGGCCAAAUCGGAGCCAAAACACCGGCCAAUUGCCCAAAAAAUGCCGCCGAAGCCUAGCGGCGCCGCCGCAGGUUUACUCGAUUUUUACCUCCGAUGAGGUCCUUCUCGAUUUUCGUUUGAUGUAAUUUUUCCACAAUUGUGACCACCGUCCUUUCCUCUACAGGUUGACCGGAGCAAAACACCAAACCGCGACUCGAGUCAGAGGAGUCGCCGCACCCGAGAGCUCCGCCACCGAUAAGUCUCAGUUUUCUGUAUUUUUUUAGCCCACUGAGGGCCCUACGUGUGUUUUAUCACAAGAACCAAUGCAAGUUUGACUGAAUUUGGUCGAAAACGGUCAACCUGAUGCGGAUCGCGGCGGUGCCGUCGCCGGAAUACGACGUAGCCUCUGUGCCGAAAUUUCGAAAUUGGCCGAAUAGGCCCUAGGUCUGAUUUUAAGUUAUUUGGGGACACGUGUAGGUACCGGA
Molecule: long non-coding RNA, 643 nt
Filed under: Carica papaya (papaya)
Lineage: Eukaryota; Viridiplantae; Streptophyta; Magnoliopsida; Brassicales; Caricaceae
Description: long non-coding RNA (CPAP_LNC009979)
Source: RNAcentral